This 116-nucleotide ribosomal RNA is filed under the name Pogona vitticeps (central bearded dragon). The record is from RNAcentral. Lineage: Eukaryota; Metazoa; Chordata; Lepidosauria; Squamata; Agamidae.
ACUAUCACCCUAACACUCUUAAGAUCUCCAGUCCCGUCUGAUUUUGGAAACUAAGGAGGGUCAGGCCAGGUUAAUCCUUGAAUGAGAGACCAUCAGGGAAGAGGUAGGAAAGAAUC